This is a non-coding RNA of Ilex paraguariensis (yerba mate), 118 nucleotides long. NCBI's taxonomy places the organism in Eukaryota, Viridiplantae, Streptophyta, Magnoliopsida, Aquifoliales, Aquifoliaceae. The record is from the annotation of a GenBank genome assembly.
GUGUCCUAGGCGUAGAGGAACCACACCAAUCCAUCCCGAACUUGGUGGUUAAACUCUACUGCGGUGACGAUACUGUAGGGGAGAGUCCUGCUAGGAAACAGCGGCGAUUGAGUAGAGC